AGCGGCGGACGGGUGAGUAACGCGUGGGCAACCUGCCUCAUACAGGGGAUAACAGUUGGAAACGGCUGCUAAUACCGCAUAAGCGCACAGUACCGCAUGGUACGGUGUGAAAAACUCCGGUGGUAUGAGAUGGACCCGCGUCUGAUUAGGUAGUUGGUGGGGUAACGGCCUACCAAGCCGACGAUCAGUAGCCGACCUGAGAGGGUGACCGGCCACAUUGGGACUGAGACACGGCCCAA
RNAcentral lists this ribosomal RNA (239 nucleotides) under uncultured bacterium. RNAcentral's name for it is "partial 16S ribosomal RNA". It matches the Rfam family "Bacterial small subunit ribosomal RNA", at positions 94 to 334 of the family's 1533-position model. The record is from RNAcentral.